CAGCUCUGAAAGAAAAGGUCAAAACAUUCGGUUCGCUACUGAGUCACACACAUCCAAGCAAAAGCACACCUUUACAUGUUGAGGCUGACUGAUACACUUUAAACCCAGAAUUGCAUUUACACCGAAAUGCUACCUUCCAUCAAGGAGGUUUUUGAUCGAGUAGGUGAAACUGGAGUUUUCACUUUACUUCUGAGUAGGGAAUUCAGUAAACAAGGCUCAUGUUUGAUCCCACUGACCCAUGCGGCCUUUCCAAAUAUGCCUUGGGCAUCACAGCUCUGUAAUUAGAGCCUUAUGUUACUGCAUUAUAGAUCUGUUCUGUUGACAGCACAACCACUCCCCAGAUUUUACUACAGGAAAUCCGCAGGCUUACAUCACAAUUAGUUGUGAAAGCUGCAUCUUAAGUCAAAAUCCGAACCAGACCCAAUUGUUUUAGACAGGAACGAUGUUAUAAAUGAAGGGGAUUGGUUCCUAAGCCAGGGUUGGAAGAUCUAUUUUUUCCAAAAUUACUUAAUUGUAUAAUCAAUUUUCGACGGUAACACAGUUAUAUUAAUGUAUGUAUUCUGAGUCAGGCUUCACAACUGAGUGAACAGAUUUCUCCUCCUUUGCUGGUGACUUCUCCUGGCUACCAGGCUCCUGUGGGGCUCCUCCCCAUUCUGGGGCCCCAGACCAAGUGCCAGAAAGAGAGAACUGUGACCUCGUGGAAAACAGCAAAAAAAUUGUAUUGGUUUUAAUUUAGAACAUCCAAGAGCGAGUACCGCACCGAAAUCUGAUGGAAUCGUCGAGAUACAAACGUCAAAAAAUUGAAAAGUAUUUUUAAGGUGUCGGGAAAAAAUGGCUCUAGAACGCCGCAGAAGCUGGAUUUCGCCUGGGGAGUCUUGGACAACUGGAGCCCGCUGAGUCGGGCCGCUUCAAGUCUUCGGACAACCCUCAGGCCUCCUCGCAGCCCCCUCUCCCAGUUGGGGGGAGUUCAGGCUGUUGGGGGCUGGAGGAAAAUGGCUGAGGCGCUGCCGGGUCUGGGUGGAAGGACACGAUCGUCCCAAGCCGCUGGACCUCGGGACCUCAGCAGCAACACCACCGGUCAGUAGCCGGACGGCUCCGCGCUCAUGGAAACCGGACAGGACCCAGACUUGGGCCUACAGCGGACUCACCUCUGCCCAGGCCUCAAACGGUAAAAUGCUCUCUCCUUGAAAACCUGG
Ornithorhynchus anatinus (platypus) is the source of this 1196-nucleotide long non-coding RNA. RefSeq lists it as uncharacterized. The transcript is spliced from 5 exons. The record is from RefSeq and is a predicted model, not a curated record. NCBI's taxonomy places the organism in Eukaryota, Metazoa, Chordata, Mammalia, Monotremata, Ornithorhynchidae.